RNAcentral lists this ribosomal RNA (3063 nucleotides) under Acidimicrobiaceae bacterium. Its description in RNAcentral is "23S ribosomal RNA". It matches the Rfam family "Bacterial large subunit ribosomal RNA". The record is from RNAcentral. Lineage: Bacteria; Bacillati; Actinomycetota; Acidimicrobiia; Acidimicrobiales; Acidimicrobiaceae.
GUUCAAGCUACUAAGGGCUAUUGGUGGAUGCCUUGGCGCUGGAAGCCGAUGAAGGACGUGGAAGACUGCGAAAAGCUACGGGAAGUUGUCAAACAAGCUUUGAUCCGUAGAUGUCCGAAUGGGGAAACCCAAUUUAUUUUAAUAAAUUACUCCUACCUGAAUAUAUAGGGUAGGUAGAGGGAACUAGGGGAAGUGAAACAUCUCAGUACCUAGAGGAAAGGAAAGCAAAAGCGACUCCCUGAGUAGUGGCGAGCGAAACGGGAAGAGCCUAAACCAAAUUAAUGUUAAAGACUGAUGUCGUUGUUUUUUUGGUGUUGUGGGGUCCUUUUGAGAGAGCAUCAGAUCUUUCAAUAAGUUACAAAAAAAUAGAUUAGAAAAAUUAUCUGGAAAGUUAAACCAUAGAGUGUAACAGUCACGUAUUCGAAAAUCUAUUUACUUAUUAAGGCCACCCCGAGUAACAAGGAAGAUACUCCUUGUGAAUCUGCGAGGACCACCUCGUAAGGCUAAGUACAACCAGCGACCGAUAGUGAACAAGUACCGUGAGGGAAAGGUGAAAAGAACCCCGGCGAGGGGAGUGAAAUAGUACCUGAAACCAAUAGCUUACAAGCAGUAGGAGGGAUAUUUAUAUCCUGACUGCCUGCCUUUUGAAGAAUGAGCCUACGAGUUAUCCGUAUAUGGCAAGGUUAAGGAGUAAAUCCGUAGCCGCAGCGAAAGCGAGUUUUAAUAGAGCGUCUAGUCGUAUGCGAUAGACCCGAAGCCAAGUGAUCUAUCCAUGAGCAGGGUGAAGCGGAAGUAAGAUUUCGUGAAGGCCCGAACCCACUGAUGUUGCAAAAUCAGGGGAUGACUUGUGGAUAGGGGUGAAAGGCCAAUCAAACUUGGUGAUAGCUGGUUCUCUCCGAAAUGUCUUUAGGGACAGCGUUAUAUGUUGCGCUUUGGAGGUAGAGCACUGAUUGAGCUAGGGGGCCAACAAGCUUACUGAACUCAGUCAAACUCCGAAUGCCAAAGUGUAUAAGUAUAGCAGUGAGCCUAUGGGGGAUAAGCUCCAUAGACGAGAGGGAAACAACCCAGAUCAUCAGCUAAGGCCCCUAAAUGUAUGUUAAGUGUGAAACGAUGUGAGAGUGUUCAGACAGCCAGGAGGUUGGCUUAGAAGCAGCCAUUCCUUUAAAGAGUGCGUAACAGCUCACUGGUCGAAUGUUCUCGCGCGGAAGAUGUAACGGGGCUAAACAUACUGCCGAAGCUAUGGGAUUUUACUAAUCUUGAUAUUUAUAUCCAGGAGGUAAGAUCGGUAGGAGAGCGUUGUAUGGACAGCGAAGCGGUAACGUAAGUUAAUCGUGGAGACCAUACAAGUGAGAAUGUAGGCAUGAGUAGCGAAGGAAGAGUGAGAAUCUCUUCCGCCGAAUGUCCAAGGGUUCCUGGGGAAGGUUCGUCCGCCCAGGGUUAGUCGGGACCUAAGGCGAGGUCGAGAGACGUAGUCGAUGGAUAACAGAUUGAUAUUUCUGUACCACUAAUAGCACGCCCAAAUCGAAUAUAUGUUGCUAAGGAAAUCCCUUCGGGGCCUACCGAACCACAUAUUACUAGAUUAGCGAUGGAGUAACGGAGAAGGAUAGAUGAUCCCAGGCGAUGGUUGUCCUGGGGUAAGUGAGUAGGGUAGUUAAUAGGUAAAUCCGUUAACGAUAAGCCUGAGACACGAUGCCGAGCCGCUUUUUAGGCGAAGUCAUUGAUUCCAUGCUUCCAAGAAAAACUUCUAGUUAGUUUUAUUAGUGCCCGUACCCCAAACCGACACAGGUGGACAAGUAGAGAAUACUAAGGCGAGCGAGAGAACUCUGGUUAAGGAACUCGGCAAAAUAGUUCCGUAACUUCGGGAGAAGGAACGCCCAAGUAAAGUGAUUAAUUAACUUUAUGAGCUUGAAAGGGCCGCAGUGAUCAGACUCAAGCGACUGUUUAUCAAAAACACAGGAGGAUGCAAAGUUCUAAUACAACGUAUAUCCUCUGACACCUGCCCGGUGCUGGAAGGUUAAGUGGAGAGGUUAGCUUCGGCAAAGCUUUGAAAUUAAGCCCCAGUAAACGGCGGCCGUAACUAUAACGGUCCUAAGGUAGCGAAAUUCCUUGUCGGGUAAGUUCCGACCUGCACGAAUGGUGUAACGAUUUGAGUACUGUCUCAACCAGAGACUCGGCGAAAUUGCAAUGUGAGUAAAGAUGCUCACUAUGCGCGACAGGACGGAAAGACCCCGGAACCUUUACUGCAACUUGAUAUUGAAUGUUGGUGUGCAGUAUGCAGGAUAAGUGGGAGACUUUGAAACAGCGGCGCUAGUCGUUGUGGAGUCAUCCUUGAGAUACCACUUUCUUCAUAUUGACCUUCUAACCUAGAUCCGUUAUCCGGAUCAGGGACAUUGUCUGGUAGGCAGUUUCACUGGGGCGGUGGCCUCCUAAAAAGUAACGGAGGCGCUCUAAGGUCACCUCAGCGUGGACGGCAAUCACGCAUUGAGUGUAAGUGCAAAAGGUGGCUUGACUGUGACACAAACAAGUGAAGCAGGUACGAAAGUAGGAACUAGUGAUCCCAUGGUUGCAUGUGGGUGCGCCAUGGCUCAUCGGCUAAAAGGUACUCCGGGGAUAACAGGCUUAUACCCCCCAAGAGUCCAUAUCGACGGGGGUGUUUGGCACCUCGAUGUCGGCUCUUCUCAUCCUGGGGCUGGAGCAGGUCCCAAGGGUUAGGCUGUUCGCCUAUUAAAGAGGAACGCGAGCUGGGUUCAGAACGUCGUGAGACAGUUCGGUCCCUAUCCGUCGCGCACGUAAGAAAUUUGAAGAAAGUUGUCCCUAGUACGAGAGGACCGGGAUGAACGAUCCGCUGGUGUGCCAGUUGUUCUGCCAAGAGCACCGCUGGUUAGCUACGAUCGGACAGGAUAAGCACUGAAAGCAUCUAAGUGCGAAGCCCCUUCUAAGAUAAGAUUUCUCAUCGGGUUAACCGAUUAAGACUCCUUAUAGAACAUGAGGUUGAUAGGUCAGAAGUGUAAUUACAGUAAUGUAUGUAGCUGACUGAUACUAAUAAGUCGAGGGCUUGAAUUU